Molecule: long non-coding RNA, 706 nt
Filed under: Citrus sinensis (sweet orange)
Lineage: Eukaryota; Viridiplantae; Streptophyta; Magnoliopsida; Sapindales; Rutaceae
Description: long non-coding RNA (CSIN_LNC002727)
Source: RNAcentral
UAUCUCGAACCUUUUUUCAGUUUCCUUGGAACCACUGGUUUUUUACUGCUGAUAGACACAGAUGCACACAAACUUACAAGGAGAAACAAAUGCAUUGUUUAUUUGACACUAUAACCUAUAAAUGCAUUGUUUAUUUGACACUAUAACCUAUCUAAAAUCUUUGACACUGGAUUUGAGAAUGUUUGUUACUAUUGUAGUUAGUUUUUAAUGUCUUCAUGAGGAACUCCUCAUAUGUUCUUGGUAGUAAGAUGUUUGAUCAUGCAAUCAUUACAACUUCAAAAUUACAUGAAAAGAAUGUACUUCCAUGGAAGUUAUAAGUAAAUGUUUGAACUCCAUUGUGAUGGGGUCAGCCAGCUGCACGUCCAUGUGAUGGGGUCAGCCAGCUGCACGUCCAUUUUUCUUGUACUGGUGAAUGCGUGUCUUUUUAGCUCACAAAAUCCUACUGUCUAAAGAGAAUUCAAGAUCAGUUUUUUGUCUAAAAGAUUCAACCUUACUCUGGAUAUAAUUUCCACUCUUAAUCUGGCACCAGUUAUGUCAAUCAUUAUAAUUCUAGAGUCAUUAUUCCUUAAUUAGUUUCUAAGCUCUUUGAAUAGCAUUUACUGCAAGGCUUUUGAGAAUCAAUCUCAUGCUGUACACAUUUAUUUUGGCUGUGUUUUUAUUAUUUUUAUGCAAUUGGUUGCUUAUUUGUAAGUACUAGAAGGCUGCU